This 519-nucleotide ribosomal RNA is filed under the name uncultured bacterium. Its description in RNAcentral is "bacterial SSU rRNA". It matches the Rfam family "Bacterial small subunit ribosomal RNA", at positions 340 to 858 of the family's 1533-position model. The record is from RNAcentral.
UACGGGAGGCAGCAGUAAGGAAUAUUGGUCAAUGGACGCAAGUCUGAACCAGCCAUGCCGCGUGGAGGAUGAAGGUCCUCUGGAUUGUAAACUUCUUUUAUCUGGGAAGAAACCCACUUUUUCUAGAGUGGUUGACGGUACCAGAUGAAUAAGCACCGGCUAACUCCGUGCCAGCAGCCGCGGUAAUACGGAGGGUGCAAGCGUUAUCCGGAUUCACUGGGUUUAAAGGGUGCGUAGGUGGGCAGUUAAGUCAGUGGUGAAAUCUCCGGGCUUAACCCGGAAACUGCCAUUGAUACUAUCUGUCUUGAAUGCCGUGGAGGUAAGCGGAAUAUGUCAUGUAGCGGUGAAAUGCUUAGAUAUGACAUAGAACACCAAUUGCGAAGGCAGCUUACUACACGAAUAUUGACACUGAGGCACGAAAGCGUGGGGAUCAAACAGGAUUAGAUAUCCCUGGUAGUCCACGCCCUAAACGAUGGAUACUCGACAUACGCGAUACACAGUGUGUGUCUGAGCGAAAGC